AUGUGACCGGUUAACACCCUGUCGCAGCCCUCUCACGGCGGUAACAGGGGUUCGAAUCCCCUAGGGAGUGCCA
RNAcentral lists this transfer RNA (73 nucleotides) under Gammaproteobacteria bacterium. Its description in RNAcentral is "tRNA-Glu". Lineage: Bacteria; Pseudomonadati; Pseudomonadota; Gammaproteobacteria. The record is from RNAcentral.